This 73-nucleotide transfer RNA is filed under the name Candidatus Hatepunaea meridiana. RNAcentral describes it as "tRNA-OTHER". It matches the Rfam family "tRNA". Rfam says of the family: Transfer RNA (tRNA) molecules are approximately 80 nucleotides in length. Their secondary structure includes four short double-helical elements and three loops (D, anti-codon, and T loops). Lineage: Bacteria; Pseudomonadati; Candidatus Electryoneota; Candidatus Electryoneia; Candidatus Hatepunaeales; Candidatus Hatepunaeaceae. The record is from RNAcentral.
GCCCCGGUAGCUCAAUUGGAUAGAGCGCUGCCUUCGUAUGCUGAGGUUGCGGGUUCGAGUCCCGCCCGGGGUU